RNAcentral lists this ribosomal RNA (695 nucleotides) under uncultured bacterium. RNAcentral describes it as "bacterial SSU rRNA". It matches the Rfam family "Bacterial small subunit ribosomal RNA", at positions 60 to 764 of the family's 1533-position model. The record is from RNAcentral.
UGCCACGCUGAUGCGAUUUCGGUCAAUCAUGUGGCAUUCGAGUGGCGGACGGGUGAGUAACGCGUGGGUAACCUGCCUUACACAGGGGGAUAACACCUGGAAACAGGUGCUAAUACCGCAUAAGCGCACAGGGCCGCAUGGCCCGGUGUGAAAAACUCCGGUGGUGUAAGAUGGACCCGCGUCUGAUUAGCUUGUUGGCGGGGUAGGGGCCCACCAAGGCGACGAUCAGUAGCCGGCCUGAGAGGGUGGACGGCCACAUUGGGACUGAGACACGGCCCAAACUCCUACGGGAGGCAGCAGUGGGGGAUAUUGGACAAUGGGGGAAACCCUGAUCCAGCGACGCCGCGUGAGUGAAGAAGUAUUUCGGUAUGUAAAGCUCUGUCAGCAGGGAAGAAAGAAAUGACGGUACCUGACCAAGAAGCCCCGGCUAACUACGUGCCAGCAGCCGCGGUAAUACGUAGGGGGCAAGCGUUAUCCGGAAUUACUGGGUGUAAAGGGAGCGUAGACGGUGAUGCAAGUCUGGAGUGAAAGGCGGGGGCCCAACCCCCGGACUGCUCUGGAAACUGUGUAACUUGAGUGCAGGAGAGGUAAGCGGAAUUCCUAGUGUAGCGGUGAAAUGCGUAGAUAUUAGGAGGAACACCAGUGGCGAAGGCGGCUUACUGGACUGUAACUGACGUUGAGGCUCGAAAGCGUGG